This 1361-nucleotide long non-coding RNA is filed under the name Homo sapiens (human). RNAcentral describes it as "HSALNT0236327". The record is from RNAcentral. Lineage: Eukaryota; Metazoa; Chordata; Mammalia; Primates; Hominidae.
GAUAGAGGUCAGGGUUAAAGCUCGGGGCUCCACUUUGGGAGAGAUGAUGCGGUGUUUCGUGCUGCUGCAUUUGUGGGUAAGGCUCCCAGAACCUGGAGUGGAGAGGAGUAGGAGGGAGAGGAGAUAAGACACAUCAUUCCGCACCUUCUCUACCUUGAGGCCCUUAAAAGUAUUUCCUGGGACGUCCCUAUAAACCAGAGGUGUAAUACUGAUUGUAGCCACUGGGAGGCAUCAGAAAUGUCUGUUCUCUACCCCUACCCUUUAUUCCCCCUCCCCCUCUCCAUUUCCCCUCAAAACAAGCAGGACCAGAGGAACGCUCCAGAGAACUGAGGGCUUGGGAGAGUAGCUAAAAGCAAAAGUUAAAGGCAUAGGAAAAGGACAAAAGAACAGAACCAAGGGGGUGCCAACUAGGAGGAAGGCUAAGGCUGGGUGUCACUGGUGGUGCUGAGGGGACAGGAAUUGCUGAAGGUAGAAGACAGGAAGGGCAGAGGCUGCCAUGACAGCUGAGUGCAAGGCUGAUUCCGAGCCAGUGUGCACCCAGAUGGGAACGUCUGUUCAUCUGGCCCAUCUUUCUGGGACAUGCAAAAGACUUGCAAAUCAGCAUGCAAAUCCCAUCAAGAUGGAUAUCCCCCUGGCUUGCGUAAGAGCAGUGUGGCUAGGUGGGAAGACAGCCAAAAGGUCAGGGAGUAACUUACCAAGCCCCCCACUGCAGAGACAGGCGUGGGUUCGGGGAGCAGGCUUGGUUGGGUGGGUGUCCAAAAUCUGCUGCACCAGGUGUUCUACAGAGAACUCUUCUGUUCCAUUCCCGCAGCUCCACUUGAUGCCAUGAACUAGAGAAGUUAGGGGGAAGUGCUGUGGGAUCCCCACGAAACAGGCCCCAGAGUACCUUGAUGGCUCCUCCAAGCACCUGACAUGCUUCAAGACUUCUGGCCAGGUGAACAGAGGCCAGCAGCCUCAAGACUGCUCAGAUAUGUUGCUUUAGUCCUUUCUCCGUAUUCUAAUACCUGAGAACACACCGGGAAUCCUAGCACCCUCCCAGCUUGGAGGGAGAUGAUCAGCCCUCAGGCUUUGGGUCCAGAACCAUGGCCCCUCUGGGAGCCCUGUUUCUACUCUCCCCUUGGAGCUCUAUCCCCACCCUGCUGCCUUACACAUGGGCUUCAGCUGUCCCAACAACUCCUCCCGGGACCACUUCAGCCACUCUCGACGGUCGCUGCUGAUGGAACAAAAGAUGGGGCUGCAGCCCUUUCCACAGUCCUCCAGGGCUGGGACGUUCAGACGCUGCCAACUCCAUCCCCCAGGGAUUGUGAAGGGGGUUCCUUCUGGCUGUGACAGUGCUGAACGAGGCCAGAGAGUGCAGCUGC